UAGAAGAGCAAUGUCCGUCUGUUCAUGAGCAACUAAACUAAAGCGGGUGCCACAGCGCCCUCUGGCAGCUGCUGAAAGGCCUGCUUCCAACCCUUUUAAACUUGUUUAUUAUGGAAAUUUUCUAACACACGUGGAUGGUGGCAGAUGUGGGCAGGGAGGAGUUGCAGGAGUUGGAGAGUGGUUCUGAGGAGGGGGUUAGAUGAGAAAACAGGGAACUUGAAUGGAAACUGCACCUCUGACAGUGAACUAUACUGCUCUUUCUUUGAAUGCAGGACGGAGAUUCUCACCAAGAGGAUGACGAAUGGCCGGGACGUGUACCGCGGGGUGAAUGCCCUCCAGGCCAAAAUCAACCUGAUUGAGAGGUUGUAUGAAAUAAAUGUGGAAGAUGCUAAUGAAAUAGACUGGGAAGAUCUUGCUGGUACCAUAGGGUAAGACCAUCCUAUAUAAAAAAAGGCUAAUAUGCAAA
This is a long non-coding RNA of Myotis brandtii (Brandt's bat), 466 nucleotides long. RefSeq lists it as uncharacterized. The transcript is spliced from 2 exons. NCBI's taxonomy places the organism in Eukaryota, Metazoa, Chordata, Mammalia, Chiroptera, Vespertilionidae. The record is from RefSeq and is a predicted model, not a curated record.